ACCUAUAGCCACCACCCUGAAAGCGCCCAAUCUCGUCUGAUCUUGGAAGCUAAGCAGGAUCGGGCCUGGUUAGUACUUGGAAGGGAGGAAGCUGUCAAAC
Molecule: ribosomal RNA, 100 nt
Filed under: Bos taurus (domestic cattle)
Lineage: Eukaryota; Metazoa; Chordata; Mammalia; Artiodactyla; Bovidae
Also listed under: 4 other names
Source: RNAcentral